UAUAAUUUUUUUUAACAUCUAUUGUCCGUCUCCAACAUACUUAUAUAAUAUAAUAUAUAUUAUUACAUCGAACUAUUGUAUUCAAAUGCUUGAAUAAUUUCGUUUUCUCGUGAGCCAGUAAAAUCAAGCGGGAGAUCGUUAAAAUUCAAUUACAUUAGUGUAGAGGCCUCAUGCUAUCGUCCAUAUCUUUACUGUCGUCGUAUUAAUCAACAACAGAUGAUGUCUGAGCGAACGUUGUUGCUAUGCAUUAUAUUUGGAAUAUUACUGUACGUUGUACAUAUAAAAGACGCUAUCUCAAAAGAAUAAAGUGAUUUUAUUACUUUUCAUCGAUUUCAUACUGUCUGCAGCCAUGUACAUGAAACGAUUUUCGCAGCGUUGGAAAAUGAUGUAUUACUGGACGAAUACGUUAUCAUUAUAUGCACAUCACGCAAAAAUAUUAGUAAUUUAUACGAUAUGUAUACACAGAGAAAUUCACCAAGCACGUUCAUCUCCAUAUCUCCGUUUAUUAAAAGUACUUUGGCCCAAAAUAAACCGUUUUGCUCAUGUAGACUAACGGCAGCGGCCAUUCCGUGGCACCGUUUCCCUCACUAUGCGACAGUCGGUGGCGUACUACGAUAUGUUAAAUAGCUGGGAGAUGAGUGAAAUCGGACGCGUUUCAUAUUAAAGUACUCAUGGUUCGAAUUAUAUAAUUGAAAUAAAAACUAAAUUUGUAGACAUCUCGUGGAUAAAUAUAAUAUUAUGAAUUACGAUGAGUAA
Molecule: long non-coding RNA, 756 nt
Organism: Aphis gossypii (cotton aphid)
Lineage: Eukaryota; Metazoa; Arthropoda; Insecta; Hemiptera; Aphididae
Exons: 2
Source: RefSeq, a predicted model, not a curated record